Long non-coding RNA from Cygnus olor (mute swan), 433 nucleotides. RefSeq lists it as uncharacterized. The transcript has 3 exons. Lineage: Eukaryota; Metazoa; Chordata; Aves; Anseriformes; Anatidae. The record is from RefSeq and is a predicted model, not a curated record.
UUUAAUACCAGAACAAUAAAAGCAAAUCACUAGGCAAAUAAUGCUCUUUCUGGAGAAUAUGUUGCAUGUGGAUAGGAUUUUCUUAUCCAAAGGGCUUCCCAGAGGCAUCCUGGAGGUGGAAAUUGGACAAAACAUCUUUGGCAUUGCGGUGUCCCACUGUAGCAAGCAAAUAACGUUCCUGGAUUAAUGCCUGUGAGAACAGCAUGAACAGCAGAGAACAUUUGAACAGCAGACAGCUUAGUGCUAUCUGCUCAUGGAAGCAAACUUAACUCCAGGCAGUGUCACACAAUGGUUUCAUUUAUAGACGAAGGGCCAAACCUGCAGCUGGCGGAGUGCCACCAGAGCCAGGCGUCCAUCCGCACCUCUGUUUUCUGGGUAAACGCUUCCCUCUGCCGGCAGAAAAACGAACGAGCCACACAAUAAAACGCUUCCA